AAAAACAAUAGAUGUUAUGAAUAUUUCUCAUACUCUUUCUCGAUUUACGUGCACAUGGAUUAAUAAAUAUCUAUAAUAAUUGUUUCGAGAACCUAAACACCCACGGAAGAUAUCAAUUUGGGCCAGAAAAAGAACUCCACCAGUGAAAAACAGCAUCGAUCUCAAAAAUGGGCGUAACAAUAUCAGGAGGAUUUUAGAAAUGAGAGAGACACUUUGACGAUUACGAAUAGAAGAAAUUACAACAAUACCAGGAAAUAGUAGAAAAACCAACGUAAAGAUACAAAAUCAAACGGAUAUCAUCGAUCAAAAGGCGCAGAGAUUGCUAAAAGAGAUUGCAACGAUAAAUGAAGGUAUUGGAGAAGAAAAUUCUAUCGACGAAAGAGAUAGAAAGAAAGAAAGAACGUGAAAAGGAGAGGGGCGAAUUGCACGAUGUCUUGACUCGGAAACGAUCUGCAAAUUCCUAAGAUAUUUUGGGGUUUAUAGGGGCGUAUGCCAGAAAUCCAAGGACGACUUAAGGUACAAUGGAAUUGAACUAUAAAGUUUUCAACGCGAAAGUACGAUAGUACCAUCUACGUAUACAUGUUACACAUCGAUAUCAUGUUAUGCGUGUAACUGAAUGUCGCUUGCAUCCACCCAUCACCUUCUGCCAUUACAAUUAUAUUAACUUUCCAUGAAUAUCAUCGCAAUAAAUCAAGAAUCUAUUUAAUGCA
Molecule: long non-coding RNA, 710 nt
Organism: Bombus terrestris (buff-tailed bumblebee)
Lineage: Eukaryota; Metazoa; Arthropoda; Insecta; Hymenoptera; Apidae
Exons: 2
Source: RefSeq, a predicted model, not a curated record